GAUAAAACAUUAUGAAAAACAAAUUGGGGCUUAGAGAGGAAGUUGAAGACUAAACAACAUACGCUCCAGAACACUUUACACAACGCUAGCUGAAAAAUCCACACGAUUUCUCUUCUCUAGAACUUCAAAUCGAAGAGUAGAUAAUGAUAUCGAAGAGUGGAAGCUGAAGAAUGGAGAUGAGCUGAAAAUUGGAGGAGCUGAACUGAUUCUAUUCUCCAAAAUUAGAAGAGCUGAAAAUCGGAGGAGCUAAAGUGAGCAGAUGCUGAUGAACUGGGGGUCGAUCGAGCAACUGAAGAACGUAAGUUGAAGAACAUACGCUCCAACUUCUAGUUUCAGCCGAACAACAUACCUCAAGCUGAAGAACAUAUGCUCUAACUGAAGAACAUAUGCUUCAGCUGAAUCUGAGGAACGUACCUCCAACUGAAGAACAUACACUCCAAGCUUUAUUAGCAUUCUUUGUUAACGAGUUGUUCCGUCGGAUUUCACAGAUGAACAAAAUGCUUCACACACGAACACGCCUCACGUCUUGUGUUGUUGGAACAGAGUUUAUAAGUUCAAAUCUGAGUUUUUGUUGAAGAAUUUACUGCUGAAACAACAGUGCAAGUGAAUAAUGUAAUGUGAUUUUCUCCACUUUAUUGUAACAUUUCAGAGCGUAAUGUGCUUUUCUCCACUUUAUUGUAACAUUUCAGAGUAUCUCUUUUCUUUUAUUUCAAAUUGACCACAAAUCAUGAAGUUUACAAAAAGCUUUUUUUACUCCUUAUGGGGUUAUU
Long non-coding RNA from Solanum pennellii, 770 nucleotides. RefSeq lists it as uncharacterized. The transcript is spliced from 3 exons. NCBI's taxonomy places the organism in Eukaryota, Viridiplantae, Streptophyta, Magnoliopsida, Solanales, Solanaceae. The record is from RefSeq and is a predicted model, not a curated record.